CAGCCGCCGCGGUAAUACGAGGGGUGCAAGCGUUAUUCGGAUUGAUUGGGUGUAAAGGGUGUGCAGACGGCUUAUUAAGUCACUUGUUAAAUUCUUCGGCCUAACUGAAGGUCUGCAAGUGAUACUGAUGAGCUAGAGGGUGGAAGAGAGAAGUGGAAUUCUCGGAGUAGCGGUAAAAUGCGUAGAUCUCGAGAGGAACACCAAUGGCGAAGGCAGCUUCUUGGUCCAUUCCUGACGUCCAUACACGAAAGCGUGGGGAGCAAACAGGAUUAGAUACCCGCGUAGUCCCUGUCUCUUAUAC
RNAcentral lists this ribosomal RNA (301 nucleotides) under uncultured bacterium. RNAcentral describes it as "partial 16S ribosomal RNA". It matches the Rfam family "Bacterial small subunit ribosomal RNA", at positions 509 to 807 of the family's 1533-position model. The record is from RNAcentral.